RNAcentral lists this long non-coding RNA (324 nucleotides) under Rattus norvegicus (Norway rat). RNAcentral's name for it is "long non-coding RNA NONRATT001600". The record is from RNAcentral. Lineage: Eukaryota; Metazoa; Chordata; Mammalia; Rodentia; Muridae.
AGGGGGAAUCCAGUGGUAUUCAGUUAAAGGCUGCACUGAGGACAAAUCGGAGUGCUUUAAGAGGAUUAUAAGGAACUAUGAGAUCCGCUCUUCUCAUUGCUGCCACCGUCCCCUGUGCAACUUCUGAGGAAGUGGCUAUAUCCGUGUUAUUGACUAGUCAGUCAUUUCUGAAGCCUGGCCUAGUGUGAUGGCAGCUUCUGUCUCGGAGCCAUGGCCAGAAGUUGAGUUUAGCUUCUCUGUGUCCGUAUCCCGCCCCAGCAUCUCACAAGAACUCUGUAUUAGCUUCAUUUCUGUUGCCAUAAUAAAGUGUUCUGAUGAAGAGAA